Molecule: ribosomal RNA, 394 nt
Filed under: Polycladomyces zharkentensis
Lineage: Bacteria; Bacillati; Bacillota; Bacilli; Caryophanales; Thermoactinomycetaceae
Description: partial 23S ribosomal RNA
Rfam family: Bacterial large subunit ribosomal RNA
Source: RNAcentral
GUCGGAUGAAAACAGCUCACCACUACGGUGAGCUGUUUUUUUGUUGUAAGUGUGAAUGGGAUACAAGAUAUGUGAAGGAACUGCACCGGAACGUGAAGGAAAGGGUAGGGGAUCGCGCGACUGGAAGUGCGCGUCCAAGCGGUGAGGCUGACCGGACAGGCAAAUCCGUCCGGUCGUAAGGCUGAGCCGUGAUGGCGAGGGAAAUUAAAGUACCGAAGUCCCUGAUCUCACACUGCCAAGAAAAGCCUCUAGCGAGGAGUGAGGUGCCCGUACCGCAAACCGACACAGGUAGGCGAGGAGAGAAUCCUCAGGCGCGCGGGAUAACUCUCGUUAAGGUUCGCGGGGAAAAUCCUACCCGGAUCAAUGGGGGAAGAUCUUGGGUGGGCUGUUUUUU